UACGUAGGGGGCGAGCGUUGUCCGGAAUUACUGGGCGUAAAGCGCGUGUAGGCGGUUUUGGAAGUCGGGUGUGAAACCCGCCGGCUCAACCGGCGGCCUGCACCCGAUACUCCAGGGCUUGAGGGCAGGAGAGGGAAGCGGAAUUCCCGGUGUAGCGGUGGAAUGCGUAGAUAUCGGGAGGAACACCAGUGGCGAAGGCGGCUUCCUGGUCUGCACCUGACGCUGAGACGCGAAAGCUAGGGGAGCAAACGGGAUUAGAUACCCCCGUAGUCC
RNAcentral lists this ribosomal RNA (273 nucleotides) under uncultured bacterium. RNAcentral's name for it is "partial 16S ribosomal RNA". It matches the Rfam family "Bacterial small subunit ribosomal RNA", at positions 524 to 796 of the family's 1533-position model. The record is from RNAcentral.